This 737-nucleotide ribosomal RNA is filed under the name uncultured bacterium. Its description in RNAcentral is "bacterial SSU rRNA". It matches the Rfam family "Bacterial small subunit ribosomal RNA", at positions 104 to 828 of the family's 1533-position model. The record is from RNAcentral.
GGGUGAGUAACACGUGGGCAACCUGCCCAAAAGAGGGGGAUAACACUUGGAAACAGGUGCUAAUACCGCAUAACCAUAGUUACCGCAUGGUAACUAUGUAAAAGGUGGCUAUACUACCGCUUUUGGAUGGGCCCGCGGCGCAUUAGCUAGUUGGUAGGGUAAAGGCUUACCAAGGCAAUGAUGCGUAGCCGAAUUGAGAGGUUGAUCGGCCACAUUGGGACUGAGACACGGCCCAAACUCCUACGGGAGGCAGCAGUAGGGAAUCUUCCACAAUGGGCGAAAGCCUGAUGGAGCAACGCCGCGUGGGUGAAGAAGGUCUUCGGAUCGUAAAACCCUGUUGUUAGAGAAGAAAGUGCGUGAGAGUAACUGUUCACGUUUCGACGGUAUCUAACCAGAAAGCCACGGCUAACUACGUGCCAGCAGCCGCGGUAAUACGUAGGUGGCAAGCGUUAUCCGGAUUUAUUGGGCGUAAAGGGAACGCAGGCGGUCUUUUAAGUCUGAUGUGAAAGCCUUCGGCUUAACCGGAGUAGUGCAUUGGAAACUGGGAGACUUGAGCGCAGAAGAGGAGAGUGGAACUCCAUGUGUAGCGGUGAAAUGCGUAGAUAUAUGGAAGAACACCAGUGGCGAAAGCGGCUCUCUGGUCUGUAACUGACGCUGAGGUUCGAAAGCGUGGGUAGCAAACAGGAUUAGAUACCCUGGUAGUCCACGCCGUAAACGAUGAAUGAUAAGUGUUGGAG